This 482-nucleotide ribosomal RNA is filed under the name Diplocentrus peloncillensis. RNAcentral describes it as "partial 16S ribosomal RNA". It matches the Rfam family "Archaeal large subunit ribosomal RNA", at positions 1921 to 2669 of the family's 2987-position model. The record is from RNAcentral. Lineage: Eukaryota; Metazoa; Arthropoda; Arachnida; Scorpiones; Diplocentridae.
GGUCUACAGAACUCAUUAUAGAUCAAGCCUGCUCAAUGCAUUGUAAAUAGCCGCGGUAUCCUGACCGUGCAAAGGUAGCAUAAUAAUUAGCCCUUUAAUUGGGGGCUGGAAUAAAUGGUUUGACUGAGUAGUAUUGUCUUGUAGUUAUACCUCAAACUUUACAUACCAGUAAAAAGGCUGGUAUUACAUUAAAGGACAAGAAGACCCUUUCGAGCUUUACAAGGAGGUUUCCCACAUCCAAAAGGAAAGCUAACUUGUUGUACUGGGGCAGUAAAGGACACUUAUCUUUCAAAUUCUAUGAAUUAUAAUUCUAGCCAUACCUAGAAAUUCUAAAACGAGAACAAGUUACCGAAGGGAUAACAGCGCAAUUUCACUAGAGAGAACAUAUUGACAGUGAAAUUUACGACCUCGAUGUUGGAUUAAAGGACCUACCUUACGCAGAAGUAAAACAAGGUAGUCUGUUCGACUAUUAAACCUUUCCA